UUUUUUCCUCUAUCUCUCUCUCUCUCUCGAUUAAUUUCGGCAAUGGGGCUUUUUUUUUUUCUCCAAAUCAUUCCUCCCAUUCUCUUCUAAAAUUUAAAUUAUAUAAUGUAGGCUAAAUUACAGAAAACCCCCCUGUAAUAACCUGCUUUUUUACUUCGCCCCUGACAUUUAAAAACCUACACUUUGCCCCCUUGUAAAAUAAAAAAUGUGCACUUCACCCCCUACCGUUAGGAUUUCAUUAUAAAAUAUUUUUUUAUGCCAAAAAUACCCCUCCGCCCUUUUCCUUGUUGCUUCGCCUCUCUCCGGCUCGCCGCCUCGCCGCCGUCUCGCCACCUCGCCGUCCUGCACUGCCUCGCCCUCUCCCACUUCCCCUUCGCCCUCCUCCGCCGCCUCGCCUUCGCCCUCAUUGCCCUUGCCUACCUCUCCAUUAACACCCACCUCGAUUUCCUCCCUACUAUCGUCGAAAUCAAGGGGUGGCGAGGGUGCAGGAGAAGAAGGGGAGCAGGUGGAGAAGGAAAUGGAGAGAAAUCGCGGCCGAUUGAGGUGAGAAUUGCGGCCGAUCAAAGGGGCGGCUGAGGAAGAUGAGGAAGAAGACGAAAAUGGCGAGGGGCAAAAUGGUCAUUUUACACACCGUAACCCCCCCUGUGAAUAUUUUUCAUUUUACAAGGGGGCAAAGUCUAGGUUUUUAAAUGUCAGGGGGGAAAGUGAAAAAGUGGGUUAUUACAGGGGGCUUUUUGUAAUUUAGCCAAUGUAUAAUUUUUUACACAUAACUUUUUAUAUAGCUAAAAUUACAUAUAUUAAAUAUAAAAUUUUAAUUUUAUAAUAUUUAUCACUUAAAAAUAAGUUGUACAAUAAAAAAU
RNAcentral lists this long non-coding RNA (860 nucleotides) under Ananas comosus (pineapple). Its description in RNAcentral is "long non-coding RNA (ACOM_LNC015213)". Lineage: Eukaryota; Viridiplantae; Streptophyta; Magnoliopsida; Poales; Bromeliaceae. The record is from RNAcentral.